RNAcentral lists this ribosomal RNA (113 nucleotides) under Acanthosepion pharaonis. Lineage: Eukaryota; Metazoa; Mollusca; Cephalopoda; Sepiida; Sepiidae. The record is from RNAcentral.
UUAUGACCAUAUCACGUAGAUACACCGGUUCUCGUACGGUCACCGAAGUUAAGCAAAGUCGAGCCUAGUCAGUACUUAGAUGGGUGACCGCUUGAGAAUAACAGGUGCUGUAA